GAUGAACGCUGGCGGCGUGCCUAAUACAUGCAAGUCGAACGAACAGACGCUGCGCUUGCUCCUCUGUCGUUAGCGGCGGACGGGUGUGUAACACGUGUAUCACCUCCCUAUCAGACUGGGAUCACUUCGAGACACCGGCGCUAAUACCGGAUAAUAUAUUGCACCGCAUGGUUCAAUAGAGAAAGUCGGUUUUUCUGUCACUUAUAGAUGGUUCUGGGCCGCAUUAGCUAGUUGUUAAGGUAACGGCUUACCAAGGCAACGAUGCGUAGCCGAGGUGAGAGGGGGGUCGGCCACACUGGAGGUGAGACAGGGACCAGACGCCUGCGGGAGGCAGCAGUAGGGAAUGUGCGGCAGUGGGCGAAAGCCUGGCGGAGCGGCGCCGAGUGAGAGAUGAAGGUCUUGGGAGCGUAAAACUGUGUUAUUAGGUAAGAACAAAUGUGGAAGGAACUAUGCACUGCGUGACGGUACCGAAUCAGAAAGCCACGGCUAACUACGUG
This 497-nucleotide ribosomal RNA is filed under the name uncultured bacterium. RNAcentral's name for it is "partial 16S ribosomal RNA". It matches the Rfam family "Bacterial small subunit ribosomal RNA", at positions 28 to 507 of the family's 1533-position model. The record is from RNAcentral.